Molecule: long non-coding RNA, 1221 nt
Organism: Calidris pugnax (ruff)
Lineage: Eukaryota; Metazoa; Chordata; Aves; Charadriiformes; Scolopacidae
Exons: 8
Source: RefSeq, a predicted model, not a curated record
UACUGAAGCCUGCAAAAUGAACUGAAGUCUGCCAAGUAAAGAAUAAUGACAUUUUAUGUUUUCAGUCUGUAGAUCUUCUUGAUACCUGUGGGAGUUGCAUGCACAGCCAGAUGUAAUAGUCUCUGCAGGUGAAAAUUCUGAAAAUACUUGUCUGCAUACAAGCAUGGCUUCAGGUGUAGCUUAAGAAGAGCUUGAUCCUGGCUGUUGGAAGAGUAGUGUGAAGAGCUAAGAAUGAAAUGGGAAGAAACAUGGAGUUAACUUAGAGUGCUGAUCUCAACGUCUUUAGUGGCCAAAAUGGGAAGUUUAGAUCCAAAUAAUGCAAUAACCUGAGCUGCAGCUUCAAUCAAUUAUUCUGCCUUUUGCAUAAACUACAAGGACUACAAAAGUCAAGAAGACUUGAGAUUCAUCUCCCAGAAAAGGAAGUACCCCACAGGGCUUUCAUGCAGUACUGAGUAUGUUUAGAUACUGGAAAUAUCAUCUCGUACAACCACAAGAGAAGAGUGGGGACCUGACAGAAUGGCCACAGCAAGACAACUGGGCACCCCUGGACCUCCUUUUCCUUUCUCUUCAGACUCCUUGCCUCUGUCACAGCUCCAAACCUGCAGUUUUUCCUUUGAGCAGCAAUAGUGACACAGGAUUGGGACAUACUUGCUUUCAUUAAAUUCUCUGUUUGCUCUGCCCUUGCUAUGACCCUGAAUAGAAAAAGCUGGUCUCCACUGAUUCUUGUGUUUACAGCCUACAGCUGGGAUUAUGAAGUUAAUGAAAUACGUACCUCCAGAUCUCCUGAGAUAUUGGCUCCUGCAAGAAUGCCAGUGGCAGCUGGGAAAAAAAUGGCAAACACCGAGAAAAAUCCUUCUCCACUUCUGAAAUCUGGUCCAAAGUUUUCUGCAAAUAUUGAUGCUGCAAAAAUAGGUGAAAAUGAAACAUACCACCAGGAUUUGAUUUCAAAGUUACAUAAUGAAGGAGGAAUGACUGUCCCAAUGAAGAAGUUUGCAAUAGCAACAAGGAGAACAAUUAGAAGAAUAACUUGAGCCUAUUAAUAGAAACAAAAAGAUUUGCCCGAUGAGUUUAAUUUGUGUUGACUGUGGAGAUGGCUAUAUAGUUUACCUUGGCUUCCCAUUCCAUGCCAGCAACAGAGAUGCCGAGAAGACAUACAACAGUUAUGGUACCUAUUAUUCUGAUGUCAUUGGACUCAUCUACCAUCAGUGUAUCACUCUCCUG